Long non-coding RNA from Sapajus apella (tufted capuchin), 817 nucleotides. RefSeq lists it as uncharacterized. The record is from RefSeq and is a predicted model, not a curated record. The transcript has 2 exons. NCBI's taxonomy places the organism in Eukaryota, Metazoa, Chordata, Mammalia, Primates, Cebidae.
CUCACUGCAACCUCCACCUCCCGGGUUCAAGUGAUUCUCGUGACAGGAGAUGGCUAGGGAGUAAGACUAGUGAAGUGACAUGGUGCUGAGCCCUGUGGGUUUUCUUACGUAUCCAAGACCAGGUGCUGAAGAAACCAGCUACCUAGAACACCAAGUGGUGCAGACAAAAAAGACCAGGAAAGCCUGGCGGAUACAGUGGUGCGUGCUUGCAGUCCAGCUAUCCAGGAGGCUGGGUCGGGAGGAUCGUUUGAGCCCGGAGUUCAAAUCCUACCUGGGCAACAUAGUAAGACCCCCAUCUCUAAACAAACAAACAAACAAAAGACCCAGAGACCCAGGGAAGCCUUUUCCCCUUAGCCAAAGGACCAGAGACGGGGUCUUGCUAUGCUGCUUCAGCUGGUCUUGAAUUCCUGGGCUGCUGGGAAAAAGUCUUGUGUGUGUGAUGGAUUGUAUGUUGUUUACUGAGAAAUGAUGGCAAGGAACACCGAGCCGUCCCCAUGCAGAAAACUGCUGGAAUAGUAAGCAAUAUGUACCAGUCAUGCACUAGUGAGACCAGUUCCCAAAACACAGGAUACAUGACCUUGUCACCAUUGCUGACUCACGAAAAGUGCUUUCUAGUUAUUUCUAUUUUAGUAGUGAACAGUCACUAUCUGCCUGUUUAGUCUACCUUUAUUAUAUGAAAAAACACUGAACACCUGCCAUUAAAAAUAAUCACUUGUUCACAAAUAAUAAAUACAUGCAUCAGAGUCUGCUCUGGGCUUUCAGCUGGGAAAUGCUGUCAGUCCCCUGAUGCCCCUCUCUGAUUUCCACUUUUGCGCUC